AGGAUGAACGCUGGCGGCGUGCUUAACACAUGCAAGUCAAGGGGGCCCGAGGCGCAAGCCUUGGGCAACCGGCGAACGGGUGCGUAACACGUGAGCAACCUACCCAGGUGUGGGGGAUAGCCGUCCCAACGGACGGGUAAUACCGCAUACGCUCAACACGAGGCAUUUCGAGUUGAGGAAACGUCCGUCGGCACAUGGAGGGCUCGGCGCUA
Molecule: ribosomal RNA, 212 nt
Filed under: uncultured soil bacterium
Lineage: Bacteria
Description: partial 16S ribosomal RNA
Rfam family: Bacterial small subunit ribosomal RNA
Source: RNAcentral